UACCUAUCACUGAGGGAUAGCCCGAAGAAAUUUGGAUUAACACCUCAUAGUACCGGCUGACCGCAUGGUCUACUGGUUAAAGGUUACGGUGAUAGAUGAGUAUGCGUCCUAUUAGCUAGAUGGUAAGGUAACGGCUUACCAUGGCUACGAUAGGUAGGGGUCCUGAGAGGGAGAUCCCCCACACUGGUACUGAGACACGGACCAGACUCCUACGGGAGGCAGCAGUGAGGAAUAUUGGACAAUGGGCGAGAGCCUGAUCCAGCCAUGCCGCGUGCAGGAAGACGGCCCUAUGGGUUGUAAACUGCUUUUGUACGGGAAGAAACCCUCCUACGUGUAGGGGGCUGACGGUACCGUAAGAAUAAGCACCGGCUAACUCCGUGCCAGCAGCCGCGGUAAUACGGAGGGUGCAAGCGUUAUCCGGAAUCAUUGGGUUUAAAGGGUCCGUAGGCGGGCUGAUAAGUCAGUGGUGAAAUGCAGGGGCUCAACUCCGGCACUGCCAUUGAUACUGUUAGUCUUGAAUUAUUGUGAAGUGGCUAGAAUAUGUAGUGUAGCGGUGAAAUGCUUAGAUAUUACAUAGAAUACCGAUUGCGAAGGCAGGUCACUAACAAUACAUUGACGCUGAGGGACGAAAGCGUGGGUAGCGAACAGGAUUAGAUACCCUGGUAGUCCACGCCGUAAACGAUGGUUACUAGCUGUCCGGUACGAUUGAGUACUGGGUGGCCAAGCGAAAGUGAUAAGUAACCCACCUGGGGAGUACGUUCGCAAGAAUGAAACUCAAAGGAAUUGACGGGGGCCCGCACAAGCGGUGGAGCAUGUGGUUUAAUUCGAUGAUACGCGAGGAACCUUACCAGGGCUUAAAUGCAGACUGACAGGCUUGGAAACAGGCUUUUCUUCGGACAGUUUGCAAGGUGCUGCAUGGUUGUCGUCAGCUCGUGCCGUGAGGUGUCAGGUUAAGUCCUAUAACGAGCGCAACCCCUAUUGCUAGUUGCCAGCGAGUCAUGUCGGGGACUCUAGCGAGACUGCCGGUGCAAACCGUGAGGAAGGUGGGGAUGACGUCAAAUCAUCACGGCCCUUACGUCCUGGGCCACACACGUGCUACAAUGGUAGGGACAGAGAGCAGCCACCUCGUGAGAGGGAGCGAAUCUAUAAACCCUAUCACAGUUCGGAU
This 1168-nucleotide ribosomal RNA is filed under the name Nonlabens sp. Hel_I_38. Its description in RNAcentral is "bacterial SSU rRNA". It matches the Rfam family "Bacterial small subunit ribosomal RNA", at positions 127 to 1298 of the family's 1533-position model. The record is from RNAcentral. Lineage: Bacteria; Pseudomonadati; Bacteroidota; Flavobacteriia; Flavobacteriales; Flavobacteriaceae.